UACCUCUCAGGGUCACACCUGGAGAGUUUCCAGUACUCUACCAGUCUCGACUACGGGAGGGAGAGUCAAGCAGAGGCCUACCCAUUUCAUUCCUAGCUUAGGCAGUGGGUAGCAAGUGGAAGGCAAUCUGCUACAAGU
RNAcentral lists this small nucleolar RNA (138 nucleotides) under Ornithorhynchus anatinus (platypus). Lineage: Eukaryota; Metazoa; Chordata; Mammalia; Monotremata; Ornithorhynchidae. The record is from RNAcentral.